AAACUGAUGCCAAUCCUUCUGUGCAGAUGCAAGCGAGAGCAAGGUCCAGUCUGGGCUGAAUGCCAGCGAGGCACUAUGCUUAAGUAAUUGUGUCAGUCCUCUGAGCAUCCACUGAACGUUUCAAGGAGAGUUGUUUAUGAAGUGUGAUCCCAGCAGAUCCUGCGCAAGAGCAAGAAGGUGGCAGGGAGAUGCACGGAAUCAAUGCCAUCUGUGUGCUUCUGCAGUGAUGUUAAUCGAGCUCUUCUGCCAGAUCAUCAAAUCAGCGUGUCCCUAGGCCAACUAUAACUUAUGAAGUACCACAAUCAGAUGGGAGUAUCCUUAAGUUGAGGUGAGUAUUCUGAGUGGGUAUUUACUUAAGGAAGAGUAGAGUUUGCUUUAUGACUUUUCUUGAAUUUGCCUUCUUCAAAGCCAACGAAUUUAUCAGGAUGAAUAUUUGUAAACACAGCAGACAACAGAGAAUAUUUAUGGAAAGUGAAUUUGAAACUCAAGCUUGAAUAUUAAUGCUGGAAAGCAGAGUAUAUCAGUGUUUGUUUUCUAACCAAUGAAGCUAUAGGGAGCAUCGCACUGCAACUUAAACAUUCCUAUGUGCAGCAAUCCUGAAUCCCUCUGUGAAAUGGGAUAGCGAAUGGUAGCAUGUAACCGCUCAUAAACCAUGGACGUUAUUUUAUAGGGCAAGUAAUUAUAUACGGAUACUGUCAACUAAAUCAUGUACUUUGAUAACUUUGUAUGACCCAGGGAACUUGAGGAGAGAAAAAGAUUGCUCAUAUGCCACUGAACAGCAAUCAUAUUCAUUAUUUGUUAUUAUUAUUUCACUCAGGUAAUAACCAAUUUAGUAUUAUUUUACUCACAGCUUCCAUGGCUGUCUGUAUGUACUUCAAAUAUCUGCAGUAAUUAAAAUAAUUGUUUUGACCCAGUGCAAAUAGGUUUUGUGCUUAUUUGGUAGCUUCUUUACAACUGCACAAAGAACCAAGCUGCUGAGAUGUGAUAGAUGUGAUUAGAGCAGAAAAAGAACAAAAUCUCCUGUU
This 1025-nucleotide long non-coding RNA is filed under the name Numida meleagris (helmeted guineafowl). RNAcentral's name for it is "lncRNA (ENSNMEG00000007516.1)". The record is from RNAcentral. Lineage: Eukaryota; Metazoa; Chordata; Aves; Galliformes; Numididae.